CUAGCGGCAGGCUUAAUACAUGCAAGUCGAGGGGCAGCGCGGGUAGCAAUACCUGGCGGCGACCGGCAAACGGGUGCGGAACACGUACGCAACCUUCCCAAAACUGGUGAAUAGCCCUCCGAAAGGAGGAUUAAUACACCGUAACAUAAUGAAGUGGCAUCACUUUAUUAUUAUAGGCUUCGGCCGGUUUUGGAUGGGCGUGCGCCUGAUUAGGUAGUUGGCGGGGUAACGGCCCACCAAGCCUGCGAUCAGUAACUGGUGUGAGAGCACGACCAGUCACACGGGCACUGAGACACGGGCCCGACUCCUACGGGAGGCAGCAGUAAGGAAUAUUGGUCAACGGACGAAAGUCUGAACCAGCCAUGCCGCGUGAAGGAUGAAGGCCCUCUGGGUUGUAAACUUCUUUUAUCUGGGACGAAAAAAGCUCAUUCUUGAGCACUUGACGGUACCAGAGGAAUAAGCACCGGCUAACUCCGUGCCAGCAGCCGCGGUAAUACGGAGGGUGCAAGCGUUAUCCGGAUUUACUGGGUUUAAAGGGUGCGUAGGUGGGCAGUUAAGUCAGUGGUGAAAUCUCCGAGCUUAACUCGGAAACUGCCAUUGAUACUAUCUGUCUUGAAUAUUCUGGAGGUGAGCGGAAUAUGUCAUGUAGCGGUGAAAUGCUCAGAUAUGACAUAGAACACCAAUUGCGAAGGCAGCUCACUACGGGAUUAUUGACACUGAGGCACGAAAGCGUGGAGAUCAA
Molecule: ribosomal RNA, 742 nt
Filed under: uncultured bacterium
Lineage: Bacteria
Description: bacterial SSU rRNA
Rfam family: Bacterial small subunit ribosomal RNA
Source: RNAcentral